UACGUAGGUGGCGAGCGUUGUCCGGAAUUACUGGGUGUAAAGGGCGUGUAGGCGGAUUUGCAAGUCAGAUGUGAAAUUCCCAGGCUUAACCUGGGCGCUGCAUUUGAAACUGUGGAUCUUGAGUGAUGGAGAGGAAAGCGGAAUUCCCAGUGUAGAGGUGAAAUUCGUAGAUAUUGGGAAGAACACCAGUGGCGAAGGCAGCUACCUGGACCGCAACUGACGCUGAGGCGCGAAAGCGUGGGGAGCAAAC
RNAcentral lists this ribosomal RNA (250 nucleotides) under uncultured bacterium. RNAcentral's name for it is "partial 16S ribosomal RNA". It matches the Rfam family "Bacterial small subunit ribosomal RNA", at positions 524 to 773 of the family's 1533-position model. The record is from RNAcentral.